UUGUUUAUUAGUUUUGCGCUUCCGAGAAUUUCUUCAGGGAAGUUUAAUCGCAGGCUUUAUUUCAAGGGUUGCUUUCGUACUCCGAAGAGUCCUCCAGCGGGUUUAAAUGAAAGCAUCAGGAUAAGUUAUGGCACUUGGAACGAAUUCCAAAGAGUCAUGCCUAUCACAGAUGAGAGUUUCGCGGGUCUACAUCAGUCCUGCUGGACUCCGAAGAGCACCAACAGAGACCUCCGUAUUGUUUUUGGGGUGUGGUAAUGAUCCUUCCGCAGGUUCACCUACGGAAA
Molecule: unclassified non-coding RNA, 284 nt
Filed under: uncultured fungus
Lineage: Eukaryota; Fungi
Description: sequence contains ITS1
Source: RNAcentral